This 336-nucleotide ribosomal RNA is filed under the name uncultured Oscillospiraceae bacterium. RNAcentral's name for it is "partial 16S ribosomal RNA". Lineage: Bacteria; Bacillati; Bacillota; Clostridia; Eubacteriales; Oscillospiraceae. The record is from RNAcentral.
GGAGUCUGGGCCGUGUCUCAGUCCCAAUGUGGCCGUUCAACCUCUCAGUCCGGCUACUGAUCGUCGACUUGGUGGGCCGUUACCUCACCAACUAUCUAAUCAGACGCGAGCCCAUCUUUCAGCGAUAAAUCUUUGGUAUCAAAAGGAUGCCCUUCUGACACGUUAUGCGGUAUUAGCAGUCGUUUCCAACUGUUGUCCCCCCUCUGAAAGGCAGGUUGCUCACGUGUUACUCACCCGUCCGCCACUAACUUUCGGAGCAAGCUCCGAUCGUCCGUUCGACUUGCAUGUGUUAGGCGCGCCGCCAGCGUUCGUCCUGUAGCCACUGAUCAAACUACU